Molecule: ribosomal RNA, 253 nt
Filed under: uncultured bacterium
Lineage: Bacteria
Description: partial 16S ribosomal RNA
Rfam family: Bacterial small subunit ribosomal RNA
Source: RNAcentral
UACGUAGGUGGCGAGCGUUGUCCGGAUUUACUGGGCGUAAAGGGCUUGUAGGCGGUCCGCUAAGUCUGGUGUGAAAUCUCCCGGCUCAACUGGGAGGGGUCAUCGGAUACUGGCGGACUUGAGGGGGGUAGAGGAAAGCAGAAUUCCUGGUGUAGCGGUGAAAUGCGCAGAUAUCAGGAAGAACACCGGUGGCGAAGGCGGCUCUCUGGGCCUUACCUGACGCUGAGGAGCGAAAGCGUGGGUAGCGAACAGG